GAUUCUGGCUCAGGAUGAACGCUAGCUACAGGCUUAACACAUGCAAGUCGAGGGGAAACGACAUCGAAAGCUUGCUUUGAUGGGCGUCGACCGGCGCACGGGUGAGUAACGCGUAUCCAACCUGCCCACCACUUGGGGAUAACCUUGCGAAAGUAAGACUAAUACCCAAUGACGUCUCUAGAAGAUAUCUGAAAGAGAUUAAAGAUUUAUCGGUGAUGGAUGGGGAUGCGUCUGAUUAGCUUGUUGGCGGGGUAACGGCCCACCAAGGCGACGAUCAGUAGGGGUUCUGAGAGGAAGGUCCCCCACAUUGGAACUGAGACACGGUCCAAACUCCUACGGGAGGCAGCAGUGAGGAAUAUUGGUCAAUGGGCGAGAGCCUGAACCAGCCAAGUAGCGUGCAGGAUGACGGCCCUAUGGGUUGUAAACUGCUUUUAUAAGGGAAUAAAGUGAGCCUCGUGAGGCUUUUUGCAUGUACCUUAUGAAUAAGGACCGGCUAAUUCCGUG
Molecule: ribosomal RNA, 504 nt
Filed under: uncultured bacterium
Lineage: Bacteria
Description: bacterial SSU rRNA
Rfam family: Bacterial small subunit ribosomal RNA
Source: RNAcentral